CCUGCCCAGUGAGCACUUUUAACGGCCGCGGUAUUAUAACCGUGCAAAGGUAGCGUAAUCACUUGUCUCCUAAAUAGAGACCCGUAUGAAAGGCUAAAUGAGGACAAAUCUGUCUCCUGUAUCCAAUCAAUGAAACUGAUUUACCAGUACAAAAGCUGGUAUAGACCCAUAAGACGAGAAGACCCUGCGGAGCUUUUAAGCAACACGCUACAUAAACCAAAAUAAACCCUACAAGGCUCCCUACAAACAACAUAGCGUUACACUUUAAGUUGGGGCAACUGCGGAGAAAAACAAAACCUCCAUGAAAACAGGCUAAAACCCACCAAAAAACUUACAAGUAAAUUGGUAUAUGAAUUGACCCAGCACUGCUGAUCAUCGAACCAAGUUACCCCAGGGAUAACAGCGCCAUCCCCCUCAAGAGUCCAUAUCGCCAGGGGGGUUUACGACCUCGAUGUUGGAUCAGGACACCCAGAUGGUGUAGCCGCUAUCAAUGGUUCGUUUGUUCAACGAUUAAUGUCCUACGUGAUCUGA
Molecule: ribosomal RNA, 531 nt
Filed under: Afroedura praedicta
Lineage: Eukaryota; Metazoa; Chordata; Lepidosauria; Squamata; Gekkonidae
Description: partial large subunit ribosomal RNA
Rfam family: Bacterial large subunit ribosomal RNA
Source: RNAcentral